This is a non-coding RNA of Clarias gariepinus (North African catfish), 433 nucleotides long. The record is from the annotation of a RefSeq genome assembly. Lineage: Eukaryota; Metazoa; Chordata; Actinopteri; Siluriformes; Clariidae.
AAUAUCAUCCUCGGUCACUGUGGGCUCUGGAGAAUUCAGCACUGCUUUUAGUUAAACAAUGUUCCUGUUAUUUUUGCUGCUGCUGGCAGCUUCAUCCUAUGUGGAAUGUGCAGUAGAACUCACUCAGGUCUCCUCAGUGAUGUUAAAGCCAGGAGAAUCUUUAACCCUCAGCUGUAAAGUAUCCGGAUACUCUGUUACUGAUAACAGCUACGGCACAGCUUGGAUUCGACAACCUGCAGGGAAAACUCUGGAAUGGAUAAACCACAUUUGGGGAGGUGGAACAAUUCGUCAAAAAGAGUCUCUAAAAAACAAGUUCAGUAUUUCUAAAGACGGCUCCAGCAGCACGGUGACUCUGAGAGGACAGAAUCUACAGACAGAAGACACAGCUGUGUAUUACUGCGCCCGCUACACACACACUGAUACUUCCACUUAG